Molecule: long non-coding RNA, 903 nt
Organism: Daphnia magna
Lineage: Eukaryota; Metazoa; Arthropoda; Branchiopoda; Diplostraca; Daphniidae
Exons: 2
Source: RefSeq, a predicted model, not a curated record
CCGGGUCUCCAAAUACCGUUGUUUUCUCUACCCGAUUUUUGCCCGGGACAAUGAGCUGUGUGUCCACACACUCUCACUAGGGGCGCAUGUACUCUCGAUAUUUCUGUCUCAGACAUCAGGAAAAAACACACGCGUCAAGCGAGUAAUUUCAAAAGUGAACUCUCGUUAGUACUUCCAUUCCAAGUUUUACAAACUAUUCAAUUAUGGCAAACUUCAUUCCGGUACUGGAUGUUGCAACAAAUUUGCAGAGAAAGCAAUUUGCUGAGAAAUAUUUGUGUUUACAAGAAAAGUUUUGAACUAAGGCUGCCUUUGUUGACGAACAACGUUUUUCAUUUGACAUUGAUGGUCGAAUUAGUUUAUAUUCUGGCAGUCAUGGAAAUAACAUACCUAACACAGUCCCUGUAUGGAGUUGCAUUGCUGUUGACAAUUUGCCAAAUGUUAUCAAGAAACUCAACUGCAGACUCGAUACCACCCAGUACAAAGAAUUGCUGGAUAGUCAUGUACUUCCAUUCUGUGAUGGGCUGCAGAUAGUUCACGAUUACUUCCCAGUCCACUAUGCUUCAUCAGUUAAGGAGUACAUCAAGUCAAAUGCUCUCAACGUUUUGCCUGACUGGCCAAGGAAAUCUGGAGACUUGAUGCCUCUUGAAAAUGUUUGGAGAGAAAUGGUUUAUCGAUUUGAAGCUGAAGGAAUAUUUGCUAAUACUGUUCAUGAACUAUGGACUGCCAUUGAACAAGUUUUUAAUGUUAUGAAUCGUGGUGGUUAUUUCAUUGAAGUAAUCCUUGACACUCGUAAUAAAUUACGUAGAUUGUUUGAGAAUGAUGGCGACUGGGUUGCUGUUAACUAAGUUACUAUGUAUAACAUUCAUAACAAUAAAAUUAAACAUUCAUGUUUGUUCAGGAAAA